UAGUAGUUAAGGUAAAGGCUUAAUUAGUUUUAUGCACGUAGUCGUAACUGAGAGGUUGAUCGGCCACAAUGGGCAUGAGAAAGCCCAUGAUAUAUAUAUUACAGCAGUGAGGAAUAUUGGUCAAUAGCCUAACGGCUGAACCAGCAACUUGAAAGAAUGUAUAGUAUCAACUAAUUGCAUUUUAUAUGUAAGAUCGGAUAUAACGAAUAAAAUUCUAAAUAAAUUAUGAUAAUGACAUUUUUUAUUUAUAUGUCUUGACCAAAUUACGUGCCAGCAGUCGCGGUAAUACGUAAGAGACUAGUGUUAUUCAUGUUUAAUGGGUUUAAAGGGUACUUAGACUGUAAAUUAAACCUUAAAUGGAACUAAUUUACUAGAGUUACUAUUAAAGAGGCUAUAAAGUACUAAUGGUGUAAAGAUAAAAUUUUAUAAUACCAUUUCUCAGUAGAGAAAUAAUGGCACAGGUGACGGCGAAGGCAUCCUCUUAGUAGAUAACUGACGUUAAGGGACGAAAGCUUUAAAUCACAAAUAGGAUUAGACACCCUAGUAGUUGAAGCUGUAAAUUAUGAGCGCCAUAGAUUAUGUUUUAUCCUAUAAACGAAAGUGAAAGCGCUUCACCUCAAGAGUAAUAUGGCAACAUUGGAACUGAAAUCAUUAGACCGUUUCUGAAAUCAGUAGUGGAGUAUGUUGUUUAAUUCGAUAAUCCGCGAAAAACCUUACCACAAUUUGAAUACAUAUACCCUAUGUAUAUUUACAAGCGUUGCACGGCUGUCUUCAGUUAAUGUCGUGAGACUUUGGUUAGAUCCAUUUAAUUAACGUAAACC
RNAcentral lists this ribosomal RNA (821 nucleotides) under Badimia polillensis. Its description in RNAcentral is "SSU rRNA". It matches the Rfam family "Bacterial small subunit ribosomal RNA", at positions 246 to 1104 of the family's 1533-position model. The record is from RNAcentral. Lineage: Eukaryota; Fungi; Ascomycota; Lecanoromycetes; Lecanorales; Ectolechiaceae.